AGAGUUUGAUCAUGGCUCAGGACGAACGCUGGCGGCGUGCUUAACACAUGCAAGUCGAACGGAAAGGCCCUUCGGGGUACUCGAGUGGCGAACGGGUGAGUAACACGUGGGUGAUCUGCCCUGCACUUUGGGAUAAGCCUGGGAAACUGGGUCUAAUACCGAAUAUGACCAUGCACUUCCUGGUGUGUGGUGGAAAGCUUUUGCGGUGUGGGAUGGGCCCGCGGCCUAUCAGCUUGUUGGUGGGGUAAUGGCCUACCAAGGCGACGACGGGUAGCCGGCCUGAGAGGGUGACCGGCCACACUGGGACUGAGAUACGGCCCAGACUCCUACGGGAGGCAGCAGUGGGGAAUAUUGCGCAAUGGGCGCAAGCCUGAUGCAGCGACGCCGCGUGAGGGAUGACGGCCUUCGGGUUGUAAACCUCUUUCAGCACAGACGAAGCGCAAGUGACGGUAUGUGCAGAAGAAGGACCGGCCAACUACGUGCCAGCAGCCGCGGUAAUACGUAGGGUCCGAGCGUUGUCCGGAAUUACUGGGCGUAAAGAGCUCGUAGGUGGUUUGUCGCGUUGUUCGUGAAAACUCACAGCUUAACUGUGGGCGUGCGGGCGAUACGGGCAGACUUGAGUACUGCAGGGGAGACUGGAAUUCCUGGUGUAGCGGUGGAAUGCGCAGAUAUCAGGAGGAACACCGGUGGCGAAGGCGGGUCUCUGGGCAGUAACUGACGCUGAGGAGCGAAAGCGUGGGGAGCGAACAGGAUUAGAUACCCUGGUAGUCCAA
This 773-nucleotide ribosomal RNA is filed under the name uncultured bacterium. RNAcentral's name for it is "bacterial SSU rRNA". It matches the Rfam family "Bacterial small subunit ribosomal RNA", at positions 8 to 798 of the family's 1533-position model. The record is from RNAcentral.